GGUGAUAUAGCUCAGUGGUGAGAGCAUUUGCCUAACAUGCAAAAGUCCUGGGUUCAAUUCCCAGUACCAUAG
This is a non-coding RNA of Mus musculus (house mouse), 72 nucleotides long. The record is from Rfam. Lineage: Eukaryota; Metazoa; Chordata; Mammalia; Rodentia; Muridae.